GCAAACUGCAGAAUCACUCUCUCUCUCUCAAGGUUCCGUCUCUCUCUCUCUCUCACGGUUCACGCCACCACGGCUUCUCUCCCGGUGAGAAGCCGCCGGCUGGUCACCCCUCGCCUCCCCCAUCUCCCUCGACUAGCCUGGAUCCCCCCCUUCCCUCAUCUCUCGCUCCCUGCCACCUCGCCGUCACAGCCUCCUUCCGGUGACAACAGCCAAGGCCGCCGAGCUCUAGCCUCCAUCGUUUCUCUCUCAAAACUCUCGCUUGUUCACAGAUCCGACGGCAGUAGCAGCGGAAGCUAACCACCGCCGUCCGCCGACUCCGACUCCUCACCUCUCUGUCUCCGGCAGACGACGACAACGCCGCCCCUGUCUCCCUCCGCUCAGACCAGCUCCGACCAGCCACCGCCCCACACAGGUAAACCCCCAAAUCUCCCUUCUCUUCCUCUAAAAAAAAAGAAUCUGAAAAUCUAAUUCCUCUUCUCUCUCUCUCUCGUUUUGGCAUAACAGAGACUGGGCGGCAGUUGCCGCCGCGCCGCCGUUGCCGGCGCCCAGCAGCCACCUGCUGCUCCCUCUUUCCCCUCUCACGACUCGGACAGCGCACACACACAAAAAAGCAUAAGGAAACCCUCCCAAUUCAAUCCAGAUUCACAAAGUAAAGCAAAGCUAGGGUUUUAUUGUAAAAAUCUGUUCUUUCUCAUUCUUAUUUAUUCUCUAAAAAAAAUUCAAAUCUUGUACUUGUAAUAGUUAGAAAACGAAGUGAUGAUGAGUGUGUGUGUUCG
RNAcentral lists this long non-coding RNA (776 nucleotides) under Salvia miltiorrhiza (redroot sage). RNAcentral's name for it is "long non-coding RNA (SMIL_LNC006779)". The record is from RNAcentral. Lineage: Eukaryota; Viridiplantae; Streptophyta; Magnoliopsida; Lamiales; Lamiaceae.